UAAAUUAAAUAAUUAAAUAGAUGAUUUUUACAUACUGUAGAGCUAUAGAGAAAAUAUAGCUGGAUGGGUGAUAGUGACUUGGGGAUGGGGGUGGCUACUCUGGAUAGGGUAGUUUAAGGUGACAUCUCUGUGCAGAUGUAGAAUGGGCUAGUGCUUUCUAAGAACUGAAAGAUCAGUGAAGAAGGGGAGCAUAGUGACUGAGGAGUAGUGUGGCAUUAGAUGGGGUCUGAGAGUUACACAGGAACAUGUGGAGCCUGUAGGCCAUGGUAAAGCCUUUUUCUACUCUUCUGGUGAUUUAAAGCCAUUGUAAAGUUUUGAGCUUGGGAGUAGGUAGCAAAAUAAGAUUUAUAUUUUUAUGGGGUUACUCUGGCUGUUGAGAGGAGAAAAAGACAUGAAUCUGGGAGGCCACUUGGGAAGCAAGGCCAUCAGUGAAGAGAAAGAGUGGGAGAAAAAGGUUUGAGGAGAGAAGGUAUAGGACUUUCACUAACCUUGGACCAUAUAUUUGCCAGGAAGAAUGUAAGUUCUCCAACAUCUUCAAAUAAAGAAGUGGUUAUGAGGAAUGAUCAGAAUAAUGGAGAUAUGAAACCAUUCCAGAAUUUCACAACAAUACCAAUCACACAGGCUCUCAACUACAAUCUGAGCAAAGAAGGGCAUUUAGAAAAAGAACCUUGGAAUGCAUUCAGCCAUCAUGGCCCAGUUAAUGUCUCCAUCAAUGGAAUUCCUUGCAUUCUCUUCUGGGCCAAAAGAAUAAUGAUUAAAUUUAAGAAUCAAACCUGGCUGGACCUUACAGACGAGCCAUUUGGUCAGAAGGUAACUGUGGACCCUGACAACUCAAAUUGCAGUGAAGAAAGUGCUAGAAAAAAAAAGUAGGCUCCUUUGUAUAGGACCCUGACACACAUCUUUGAGGAAGUAUUUACUGUCUAAAAUAAAGGAACAAGUCAGAAGUUAACUUCAAAAAUUGUUGGCUGGGCAUGGUGGCUCACGCCUGUAAUCCCAGCACUUCGGGAGGCCAAGGGAGUGGAUCACCUGAGGUCAGGAGUUGGAGACAAGCCUGGCCAACAUGGUGAAACCUCGUCUCUACUAAAAUACAAAAAUUAGCCGGGCGUGGUGGCAGGUGCCUGUAAUCCCAGCUACUCAGGAGGCUGAGACAGGAGAAUUGCUUGAACCUGGGAGGUGGAGGUUGUGGUGAGCUGAGAUCGCGCCAUUGCUCUCCAGCUUGGGUGACAGAGUGAGUGAGACUCCAUCUCAAAAAAAAAAAAUUGUUAUAUUUUCCCGGCAGUUUUCUUCUGAACCUUUUUGCUAAUUGUCGGAAUAACUUGUAGAAAAUGAGACUUUGGAAAGCAAGGGUUCUCAAACUCGUUUUGAAAACAGCAAAGGAUUCCAGGCUUGGUCUCAACUCCAAAUGGUUGUCUUUGAAGCUUGGUGAUGCUGGAAACCCCAGAAGUCUUGCUAUAAGAUUCAUCCUUACCAAUUACAACAAGUUGUCCAUCCAGAGUUGGUUUAGUUUGCGCCGAGUCGAGAUCAUUUCCAACAAUUCAAUCCAAGCAGUCUUUAACCCAACUGGCGUAUAUGCUCCCUCUGGUUACUCCUACCGCUGCCAACGCGUGGGCAGCCUGCAGCAGGACCAGGCCCUCUUGCUGCCCAGCGACACGGAUGAUGGGUCGAGCCUGUGGGAGGUCACUUUUAUUGAUUUCCAGAUCCAAGGUUUUGCCAUCAAGGGGGGACGAUUUACCAAAGCCCAAGACUGCGCCUCCUCCUUCUCGCCAGCUUUUCUGAUCGGCCUGGCAAUGUCCCUGAUCCUGCUGCUGGUGUUGGCCUAUGCCCUGCACAUGCUCAUCUACCUGCGGUAUCUGGACCAACAAUAUGAUCUCAUCGCCUCUCCUGCCCACUUCUCGCAGCUGAAAGCUCGAGACACAGCCGAAGAGAAGGAGCUGCUGAGGAGCCAGGGGGCUGAAUGCUAUAAACUGAGAAGCCAACAGAUCAGCAAAAUCUAUGUUUAGCAGCACAGGCUGGCCCCCACCAUGUCCACAGUGGGCUCCGAAAGUUGUCUCUGUUCUGUGCUAUUUGACUUGUGAAUUACAGAUUUUCACCAAAUGGCUUGAUUACAAAAAAAAAGAAAAAACACAAAAAGGAAAUAGAUAAUGAAUUCUUUUUGAACCAUCCACUGGCCUACUUAGGUAGACUUGGGGCAAUCAAAAAAGGCAUCUCAGGGAUCCCACAGAGACAAAUAUGACUGUUAGUUGCCUCAAAGUACCCUGAAAGCAAAGGGGUAUUUCAAGUACGGAAAAAGAGAGAGAGAGAAGAAGAAGGAGGAGGAGGAGGAGGAGGAGAAGGAGAAGGAGGAGCAGGAGGAAGAGGAGGAGGAGGAGGAAAGGGAGGGAGGGAGGGAGAGGGAGAGAGAGAGAAAGAUUGGCAACACAGAGAAGGGAAAACACACUUGGUCCUCCUUGCCUGUGCCAGUUUGGAUGUGACAAUUAUAGAAAUAAUAAACCAAGAUUAUCUG
Molecule: long non-coding RNA, 2503 nt
Organism: Homo sapiens (human)
Lineage: Eukaryota; Metazoa; Chordata; Mammalia; Primates; Hominidae
Source: Ensembl